RNAcentral lists this ribosomal RNA (403 nucleotides) under Verrucomicrobiota bacterium. RNAcentral's name for it is "Verrucomicrobia bacterium partial 16S ribosomal RNA". It matches the Rfam family "Bacterial small subunit ribosomal RNA", at positions 355 to 776 of the family's 1533-position model. The record is from RNAcentral. Lineage: Bacteria; Pseudomonadati; Verrucomicrobiota.
UGGGGAAUAUUGCACAAUGGGGGAAACCCUGAUGCAGCGACGCCGCGUGAGCGAAGAAGGUUUUCGAAUCGUAAAGCUCUGUCCUAUGAGAAGAUAAUGACGGUAUCAUAGGAGGAAGCCCCGGCUAAAUACGUGCAAGCAGCCGCGGUAAUACGUAUGGGGCGAGCGUUGUCCGGAAUUAUUGGGCGUAAAGGGUACGUAGGCGGUCUAUUAAGUCAGGUGUGAAAGCGUGAGGCUUAACCUCAUUAAGCACUUGAAACUGAUAGACUUGAGUGAAGGAGAGGAAAGAGGAAUUCCUAGUGUAGCGGUGAAAUGCGUAGAUAUUAGGAGGAAUACCGGUGGCGAAGGCGACUUUCUGGACUUUUACUGACGCUCAGGUACGAAAGCGUGGGGAGCAAACAGG